UGGUAACUAACCUUUGAGAGCUCUUUCAUCACAUCCUCACUACAAAUAUCAGCCCAGAAAAGAAUUUGAUUCAUUAUUCUCUCCUAUUAUACACACACAUAUUUGAUUCAUUAUCCCUGCUUCUUUUGUUACAUUGAGUUGAUUGAAUUUGUUGUGCUAGUUAGAGAUGAGUGAACCACCAAAAUAUGCUAAUCCUGCUCAAGGAGACUACCAGGGACCACCGGUGGUGGCGCCGCCUCAGUAUGCGUCGCAGCCUCAGAGGAGGGGCACCGGAAUCUUGGAAUGGUGCCUUGCGACUAUGUGUUUCUUCUGCUUGAUGGAUGGAUGCUGCGAAUUGCUCUGCUGUUGUUGUGUGUAAUCAUUAAUCUUUUUUAUAUGACUACAAUGUUAAUGUAUUCUAGAGCUCUUUUCUUUGUCGGAUUAAACCUCAUUCUUUAUGUAUUAUUUUUAUUUUCUUUUGUUUCAGUUAUUGUUUAGUAUAAACACCAAACCCAUAUUCGGCAGUCAAUUGUAUUCGAAAUUUACAUUGCAGUA
Salvia hispanica is the source of this 534-nucleotide long non-coding RNA. RefSeq lists it as uncharacterized. NCBI's taxonomy places the organism in Eukaryota, Viridiplantae, Streptophyta, Magnoliopsida, Lamiales, Lamiaceae. The record is from RefSeq and is a predicted model, not a curated record.